GCCACCUACCGGCGCUUUCUGUGAAAUACGGCGCAUUUUAAAAAAAGAUGGCUCCUUUUUUCGGAUGUUGUCGAGAUUGGUAAUUCAGACAAACUUAUCCGUUUAGCUGUUAUUUUAUUAUCUGGCGAUUGCAUGGUAAUAUUCAUUCAGGAUGAUUUUAGAUACCGAUGUCCGAUAAUAGACUCAUCCAUAAAUCAGUUGAUUUAUCAAAAGCAGUCAAGAAUGGAAGAGGAAACAGAGCAUUUAGCUGCAAUGUUAUCUAUUGUAGAUGAACAGUCACACAAAUUAACAGAAUUUUUAAACUCUGAAGAUUUGAAACCAGAUCUAUCAACAAUAUUUUCAUCUUCUCAAGAUAUAAAAACAGAAUUUACAACAUUUUCAUCUAUUGUUGAUGCAAAACCCAACAUGACAUUCACAGCUUCUCAAGAUGUUAAACCCUAUACUACACCAGAAUUUUCAUGUUCUAAAGACACAGAAACAGAAUUUUCAAGUUUUUCAUCUUUUGAUAAAUUUACACCCAACAAAUCAUUUAUAAGCUUGCAAGAUGUUAAACCUGAUGUUACAUCUGAGUUUUUAAUUUGUAAAGAUAAAAAGCCUUCUGUAUCAACAUUAUCAACAUCUGAAGAUAACAAAUCAGAAGUCACAACUUUAUCAACUUGUGAAGAUUCAAAACCAGAUUUAUUGACAGGAUUUUUAUUUUUUGAGGAUAAAAAACAAAAAAGGCUUGAACUUCAAGUUGAAGAAAAUCUCCAGUUUUCUAGAGACAAAAGAUAUCAGAUUGUUUCUAGUCACAAACACAAAAGGUUUUCUCAAAGUUCUAACUCAAGUAAACAUAAAACAGCUCAAGAAGGAAAUAAGCAAGUUGAAUAUGAUGGUGACCAUGAGAAUCUUUCUCAAAGUUGUAAUUUCAGUAAAAAUAAAAAAGAGCACUCAAGAGAUAAGCAAUACAUAAGUAGUGUUUGUAAUAAAAGGUUCUCUUAUCAAUGUAACUUAUAUACACAUUUGAAAAUGCAUUUAGAAGAUAAGCCACAUGAAUGUGAUGUUGUUCAUAUAAAGUUUGGUCAGAAGAGAAAUUUAUUACAACACAAAAAUGUUUAUUCAGGAGAUAAGCCAUAUAAAUGUGAUGUUUGUCAUAAAAGGUUUACUCAAAGUUCUGGCUUAAGUAAACACAACAGAAUUCAUUCAGGAGAUAAGUCGUAUGAAUGUGAUGUUUGUCAUAAGAAGUUUUCUCAAAAUUCUUAUUUAAAAACACAUAAACAGGUUCAUUCAGGAGAAAGACCACAUGAAUGUGAUGUUUGUCAUAAGAAGUUUUCUCAAAAUUCUAGUUUAAAAACACAUAAACAGGUUCAUUCAGGAGAAAGACCACAUGAAUGUGAUGUAUGUCAUAAAAAGUUUUCUCAAAGUUCUAAUUUAAGUACACAUAAAAAGGUUCAUUCAGAAUAUAAGCCAAUUGAAUGUGAUGUUUGUCAUAAAAAGUUUUCUCAAAAAUAUAGUUUAAAAAAACAUAAAAAAGUUCAUUCAGGAGAAAGGCCACAUGAAUGUGAUGUUUGUCAGAAAAGGUUUUCUCAAAGUUCUAAUUUAAUAGCACAUAAAAAGGUUCAUUCAGGAGAUAAACCCUAUGAAUGUGAUGUUUGUCAUAAAAGGUUUGCUCAAAAUUCUAGUUUAAAAACACAUAAACAGGUUCAUUCAGGAGAAAGACCACAUGAAUGUGAUGUAUGUCAUAAAAAGUUUUCUCAAAGUUCUAAUUUAAGUACACAUAAAAAGGUUCAUUCAGAAUAUAAGCCAAUUGAAUGUGAUGUUUGUCAUAAAAAGUUUUCUCAAAAAUAUAGUUUAAAAAAACAUAAAAAAGUUCAUUCAGGAGAAAGGCCACAUGAAUGUGAUGUUUGUCAGAAAAGGUUUUCUCAAAGUUCUAAUUUAAUAGCACAUAAAAAGGUUCAUUCAGGAGAUAAACCCUAUGAAUGUGAUGUUUGUCAUAAAAGGUUUGCUCAAAAUUCUAAUUUAAGAAAACAUAAAAAGGUUCAUUCAGGAGAUAAGCCACAGGAAUGUAAUGUUUGACAUCCAAGGGUUUUUCAAAUUUCUUGUUUAUCUCCACACAAAAAAAAUUCGUUAAAGAGAGAAGCCACAUGAAUGAUAUUUGUCACAAAAAGUUGACUGAGAAGAAUAAUUGUUAUGGCAUAUAAGUGUUUUUACAAGUUAUAAGCCAUAUGUCUGUAUGAAAGAUUUUCUCAAAGUUCUUAUUUAAGUGCACUUGAAAAAGUCAUUCAAGAGACAAGCCACAUUAAUCUGGUAUUUGUCAUAAAAGAUUUUCCCAAAGUUCAUUCAGGAGAUAAGCCACAUGAAUGUGAUGUUUGUCACAAAAGAUUUUGUCAAUUAUCUAAUUUAAAUACUCAUUAAAAAUCAUUCUAGAGGUAAGCCAGGAAAUUCAUCAUGACUAAAAACCAAUUUAAUGUCAUUUUUAACAUCAAUAAUUAAUUCUUAAGCAAAUUAUUAUUGAAUAUCUUGUUAUAAUUUUUUCUCUUCACAUAACUUUAACUAAGUGGUCAUCCAUAGUUUAUUAAUUUUAAUAUUUGUAUUAUGAAAAGGUUGUUUUGUCAAAGAGUAUACCAUGUCAAUUUUUACACAUAGUCUAAAAAGAAAUUGUAUUCUGACUGUAAAAGGAAAUAGCAUUCUAAUAUGUCAGCUGCAUGUGUACAUUUUUACUUUCUCGUAUAUGCGAAAUAUAGAGAAAGUCUUGUAAUUGGGCAAAAAUAAAUAAAACUAGAUUCGUGCAAAUCUGGACGUUUUACACCUCACUGAUACGGAAAAACAUAAUUUUGCAAUCUUGUCUGUGUGUAUGUGUGUCUGUAAACAUGUUUACUUGAAUACCGUUACAGGUAUGUUGUUGUUUUUUUAUAUAAGAACUACUAUGAACUAGCGUACUGGAUCGUCUUAUAAUAGAUGCAUCAUUCGCAAAGUGACGAAACUCUACAGUAGGGUCUUCAUAUUCAAAAAGUUAUUUUUUCAUCUUUGGCAAGGUGACAAAACUGUACAGAAGGAUUUCCUCGCGUUGCAAAGUUAUUUUUAGAAGCCUGUUGUUGUUUUACCGCUGAAUAUAGUAGUACCCCUUACUCGCUAUGCAGGAUCCUUGAUUAACGGAUGCCAAGUGCCAACAUAGUCACUCUAAAACUCUGGGCGCCAAACCGUGUAUUGACGAAAGUUGUACCCUAUAUGGCGCCGCCCAAAAGAAACUUUAGUUUUCUUUUUCGCAGAAAUAUUCUCGGGAGUAUUCUCAUCUACUUCCUAAAGUUUCAUGGCACUCGGAUGAACCACAUCCAAGUUUUAUUUUUAUAUACCGUGUAUAGACAAAAAAAACCGCUCCCCCUGGGGGCGCCGCCCUUGCAAUAUUAAAACAUAUUUUUUUGCAGAACCCUACCAUUGAGUGAUCUAAUCAUUUUUAUAAACCAUAUAUAGAGAAAAAUCGCAGCCUCCCGUGGCGCCGCCCUUGCGAUAUUAAAAAAGGAUUUUUUUUUUUUUACAGAACCCUGCCCUGAAUUGUUCUAAUCAACUCCCCCAAAGUCUCGUGGCUAUCAGAUAACGGCGUCAAACCAAAAUCGACUUUUAUUUUUAUAUACCGUAUAUACAGAAAAAACAAAUUGCGCCCUGCCGGGGCGCCACCCCGGCGAAUUUUUAAAAAAAAUUUCCACAGAAACCUCCCCAGGCAAUGUGAUGAGAGGUUUAGUAAUGCAUAAAGGACAAACAGACAAUCAGACACACAAACAUACAUUGCUUUAUAUAUAUAUAGAUAGAUAGAUAUUCGAUAAAGUUUAGGGGAGAUAACUCCCGGUUUAUUUAGCUUGCAAUGUGUAUAAUAAAAUUCUUAGUAAAGUCUGGAAAAAAAACCCAGACCCACAGGAUUGUAUAGUAAUCCAUUGCACUAUGUAGCCUACCUUUUUUUGUGUUAUUUGUAAAUGUAUUUGAUAGGAGAAAUGAGCUAUGAUUUUAGAAACCCAGGGUUGUUUUUUUUUUAUACUGGCAUGGUUAUGUUCAGGCCACACAUUUAAUUUGCCUAUUCUUUUCAAAUUAUAUAAAAUUGACAUUGCACAUACAUUGGGACAAGGAAGUGAACUAAUUAUGCUCAAACCAAUUACACACAUUAUUAACAAUAACAGAAGCUAACUAAAAUAAAACACAAAGUUCAAUUCAUUUAUUUACAUUUACUAGAUGUUUUUAAUAUAUGUAGGCCCUACUGUUACUUAAUUCUCAUUCUUAACUUUACACAUUUACACUACUAACAAACAGCUCAGUCAGACAUACAGCAACAUGACAGAAUAUCAGGUUGACAGGUAAAACAACCUCCAUUAGACAAGUACAAUGACAUCAGGCCAGCAGUCACAGUGGCAUCUGGCCAACAGGUACAGUGACAUCAAAACUUCUGAGCAAUCUUUUUUUAUUAACACUUUUUCAUCUUUUGCUAAAUGACCGUAAUCAUUAUAUUGAGAGGUAUAGAAUAACCAAACUCUACUGUCUGCAAUGUAUAACUCACACAGACCAUAUGUAAAAACUGACUGCCCCCCAAAAAAUUUUUUUUCCUAAUGUUUGUCCUUGAAAUGUAUUUAUUGUCUUCACUAAUGCAGAUAUUAUUAUAAAUUGAAUUGAGAUUGAAUUUUAAAUGGUAAUUUAGUACCUGGAUAAAUUAAAUUUCUAUUAGGAACCAAGUAUGGAUCCAUUAAAUAUUUUACAAUUAAUAGCAUAAAGAUGUAUAAAUAAGAUGCUCAUUAUUGUUCCAGUGACUAAUGCUUGCUUUGUUCUUAAGCAGCAAUUGUUACAUUUUGGUAUCUUAGUUUCAAGAAAUUGUAACAUGAACAUUUCAUAAAAUAACAUAGCUAAAUUGUUUUUUUAUUGUUAUUGUAUUUCUAUCAAUACUUUCUGUAUGUAAAAAUUCCAAUGAGACCAAUGUGUUUUGAAUGCUAUGUUUUUUUCUCUUGUGAUGCUCCAAAGCCUGUACUGUGCCAGGAAUGUGAAGGUAAAAAAUAAAAAAUGCAAUGCAGCCCUAGAGGGACGCCAAAUUGAAAGUUUGUCCCCGGGUGCCGGGAAGGGUCGCUACGCCUUUAUUACACACGGCAUUUGACCUGCUUGAUAGAAGGAGUAUUUGCGAUGUUUGCUACGCAAUAAUUGCAAAGGUAGAUUGAGAACACAAGAAGGGCCUAGAUCUAAGCGAAAUACUUAAUAAAUGG
This is an RNA transcript of Physella acuta, 5213 nucleotides long. It is a transcript of the gene named zinc finger protein 883, with no coding region annotated. The record is from RefSeq and is a predicted model, not a curated record. Lineage: Eukaryota; Metazoa; Mollusca; Gastropoda; Physidae.